Molecule: long non-coding RNA, 114 nt
Organism: Ochlerotatus camptorhynchus
Lineage: Eukaryota; Metazoa; Arthropoda; Insecta; Diptera; Culicidae
Exons: 2
Source: RefSeq, a predicted model, not a curated record
CAUGAAGAAGACGUAAUUCAACAGCAUAAUUACAUAUGAUUGAGGAAUAUGGACAUGCAGAAUCGGUAUGAGGAUUGCAUAUUUUAUCUAUGCUCAAUAUUCUAUACAAAUUAC